This 452-nucleotide long non-coding RNA is filed under the name Vigna radiata. Its description in RNAcentral is "long non-coding RNA (VRAD_LNC001091)". Lineage: Eukaryota; Viridiplantae; Streptophyta; Magnoliopsida; Fabales; Fabaceae. The record is from RNAcentral.
GAUCACCCUACCAUCUAACCAGAAGCAUGCAAAAGAAAAAUCAAACUAAUUUGGGACCAUCCUUUUAGCCGAUCCUUUUCAUGUCCAAUACCUCUUCCAAACAGAACCCUUGCCAAAGAAAAAACCGGGACAACUUUGUGAGUCUCACCCGAGUUUUUCAUCAACCCAUACCACAAUAAACAAAGAAAAAAAGCAAACAAAAAAUUGGCGGCUUUGUGAUUCUCACACAAGUUUUUCAUCAAUCCAUAAUCUCAAGACCGGGGAAGCUUUGCAAAUCUCAUUUGAAAUUUUCUUACCCUAACUUUCAUGGAUCCAAACCCCAGCUCAUUUUCCCAAACACCAAACUGGGGCAACUUUUGUGUAUCUCGUGUUUCACCCUGACAUUCACAUAUCACAUCUCCUUUGAGGAUUAUAUGAGGAAUGACUUGUCCAUACAAUUAUCCCAUUCUCCG